This is an RNA transcript of Capsicum annuum, 4700 nucleotides long. It is a transcript of the gene named putative late blight resistance protein homolog R1A-10, with no coding region annotated. Lineage: Eukaryota; Viridiplantae; Streptophyta; Magnoliopsida; Solanales; Solanaceae. The transcript has 5 exons. The record is from RefSeq and is a predicted model, not a curated record.
CACAUAUACCACGGGGGGAUUCGAUCGAUCAAAAAGAGGAGAGACCAUCACAGUAGAGAGGCGUAGGACGUGUGAGUCGUACUUGUUCAACUUUAUACAAGUUUAAGUGUCAAUUUGUGCACACGGAGGUCAUUAAUUUGAGGGCAAAAACAAAUUCUCAUAUAUACAGCACAUAUCUCACAUAUACCACGGGGGGAUUCGAUCGAUCAAAAAGAGGAGAGACCAUCACAGUAGAGAGGGGGAGACACAGGAGCUCCAUUUUUGUAUUUUUCUCACAGUAACAACGCACACCACGAUCCAUCAUCUUCCAUUCUUUUUACAAUUCACCACACAGAAGGCAAUACACAAACGUUCCUCACACACACGCACGCAGUAGGGGCCGGCGGUGAUCGGAAAACAAGAAAUUGGGGGUUGAUUUAGGGAGAGGAAGAUGAAGAAAACAGAGUAGCAAAAACAGAGUGAAAUCGGGAUUUGCGGAACAGUGAUCGGAGAGGCGCCGUAAAACCCAUUAAAACCGGCGACAGAUCCUCGCUGUAAUCGACCUAUAUCCGCUGGAAAACAAGAGCAGCUCCGUUCUCUUCGAUUCUCGUCGGGAAACGACGCAAUCAGUCAAUCCAGCGCCAAAACAGAUCGAAAAAAAUGAUCGGGGUUUAGGUACUAAUCGAAUUUGGGUUGACUAUUUCGGAUUCACAGAUUCCGAUUUGAGGUUCCGAUGAGGUCCAGUUCGUGAGCUCCGGUCAGCUGCUCGGUUUGAAAUCAAAAGUGCGAUACACUCAAUUUAAGACUCCCUAUUUUCUGUCACAUGCAUAAGUAAGAAAGUAAGAGAUAUGGCUUAUGCUGCAAUUACUUGUCUUAUGAGAACCAUACACCAAUCAAUGGAGCUUACUGCAUGUGAUUUGCAACUGUUUUAUGAAAAGCUCGAACGUUUGAGAGCUAUUCUUGAGAAACCAUGGAAAGCAACAGCCGAUGUCGAGGCAUUAACAAGCUUGGAAGCUGAAAUCACAGAACUAGCAUACAGUGCAGAGGAUAUGAGUGACUUGGAAUCAAGUAAAGUUUUUUUAGCACAAAAUGUGGAGGAAAGAAGCAGAUCUAUGUGGGAGCUCUUUUUCCUCUUGGAACAAGCACUAGAAUGCAUUGAUUCCACCAUGAAACAGUGGAUGGCAACAUCGUACAGCAUGAAAGAUCUAAAAGUACAACCGUACUCUCUUGCCGGUUUAUCUGAACAUGCUGUAGAGCAGCCCCAGAAUAUGAUGGUUGGCUAUGAAACUGAAUUCGAGAUGAUGCUAGAUCAACUUACUAGAGGAGAAAGGGAACUAGAAGUUGUCUCAAUUGUAGGUAUGGGAGGCAUUGGCAAGACAACUUUGGCGACAAAACUCUACUGCCAUCCGCACAUCAUGUCUCACUUUGACAUUCUUGCAAAAGCUACUGUUUCGCAAGAGCAUUGCGUGAGAAAUAUACUCCUAGCCCUUCUUUCUACGACAAGUGCUGAACCUGAUGAUGAACUAAGAGAUCGACUGCAAAAGCUUCUUAAGAGAAAGAGAUACUUGGUAGUCAUUGAUGACAUAUGGACUACAGAAGCUUGGGAUGAUAUCAAACUAUGUUUCCCAGACUGUAAUAAUGGAAGCCGAAUAAUCUUGACUACUCGGAAUGUGGAAGUGACUGAAUAUGCUAACUCAGGUAAGCCUCCGUAUCACAUGCGCCUCAUGAAUUUUGAUGAAAGUUGGAGUUUAUUGUAUGAAAAGGUCUUUGCGAAAGACUCUUUUCCCCAUGAAUUUGGACAGCUUGGGAAACAAAUUGCAUUUAAAUGCGGAGGAUUGCCUCUAUCAAUUGUUGUGAUCGGUGGGCUUCUUUCCAAAAUAGGCAAAUCAUUGGGUGACUGGCAAAUUGUUGCCAGUAAUGUAAGUUCAACGGUAAGCACAGAUGUUGAUGUCCAAUGCAUGAAGGUGCUGGCUUUGAGUUACCAUUACUUGCCUUCUCACCUAAAACCAUGCUUUUUAUAUUUUGCAAUUUUCUCAGAAGAUCAACUGAUAUUUGUAGAUAAAGUUGUGCAGUUAUGGGUUGCAGAGGGAUUUUUGAAGGUAGAAGAGAUGAAAUGCAUAGAAGAGGUGGCAGAAACAUGUCUAAACCAACUUAUAGAUAGAAGUUUAAUUUCCACCUGCGAAUAUUCGAGAUUUGGAAAAAUUGAGAGUUGUGGAAUGCAUGAUGUGACCCGUGAAUUCUGCUUGAGAGAAGCUCAAAACAUGAAUUUUGUGAAUGAUCUCAGAGGAAAGAGUGAACAAAAUCCAUGUAAGCAGUCCAUGCCGUGUUCCUCCAAGAGUCGAGGUCGGAUCAGUAUCCAUAACGUGGAAGAAUUUGUUAGGUGUCAUAAUAGUGAGGCAUAUUCCUUUAUAUGCUUUGGUAGAUUCCAAUGUCGUGUGACAGAGUUUCCUUUCAAGCUAGUCAGAGUACUACAUCUUGCUUUCCGUAGCUGUAUAACUUUUCCCAGUGAAAUGCUUCAUCUCAUUCACUUGAGACACCUAUCUUUGAGCCUUUCUUCUUCCUUUGAGCAGUAUCGAGAGAUUUCCCCAAUUAUAAUAGACAUUCCUACAUCUAUAUCAUGCUUAUUUUAUCUGCAAACUUUUAUACUUAACCUAUCUGGUGUAGGUUUGCAAUAUCCAAUCAUGUUACCAUUGGAAAUUUUGACGAUGCCGCAGUUGAGGCACCUCCAUUUGGAUUGGAACUACUUGCGGAGUCAUGAGCCUACAGAGAAAAGUCUGGUUUUGAAAAAUUUGCAAUGUUUCUCUGGAUUGAAUCCUCGGUAUUGUACUGGGUCUUUCUUUAGACUAUUUCCCAAUUUAAAGAAGUUGGGAGUACGUGGCGUCCCAGAAGACUUUAGUAGUUGCAAGGAUAUGUAUGAUUUUAGCAUGUUAGAUCAGAUCGAGGAAUUGGAAUUUCUUGUUAAUGCUCAAAAUUAUUCUUGCUUUCUGGAGAGCACUACUCCUUCAGGUUCUCCUCCACAAUAUCUUCUGCGGUCAUAUCCUGCAGAUGAUGUUCCGCUUUUGCUCCUACCUCCUUCAGAUGCUUUUCCACAAAACCUUAAGAGUUUAGCUCUUAGCGGACAAUUCUUCCUCCCAUGGAAGGAUUUGAGCAUUGUUGGUAAAAUUCCCAAACUCGAGUCCCUUAAACUAUCAUAUAAUGCCUGCGAGGGCGUUGAGUGGGAAGUAGCUGAUGAAGGUUUUCCUCGCUUGAAGUUCUUGCAACUUAACUAUUUGGGAAUUCGGUACUGGAGAGCCAAUAGCGAUCACUUUCCAUGCCUUGAACGAUUAUUCCUUUAUAGUUGCUGGAAUUUGGACUCAAUCCCUCAUGACUUUGUAGAUAUAACCACACUUGCUCUUAUAGACAUAAGCUACUGUCAAGAAUCUGUUGGGAAUUCCGCAAGGCAGAUUCAACAGGACAUUCAAGAUAACUAUGGAUGUUCUUUUGAGGUCCAUACGAGGCCCGUUCCUCCUGCUGAUUGUCUGCUAAGUCCCAUUGGACUUCCUUUACGCCCUGGACAACCAUUGUGCAUAUUCUAUUGCAGAUAUGGGAUCUGCAAAUUUGGCUCAAGUUGCAAGUUUGAUCACCCAAUGACGGUUCAGCCUCCAUUGGGUUCAUUAUUAGAAACCAGUGCAUUUAAUUCAGCAAGGAAUAUUCAACUGGACAUUCAAGGAUGUUCUGUUGGGGUCCCUACGAGGCCCGUUCUUCCUGCUGAUUGUCUGCUAAGUCCCAUUGAACUUCCUUUACAUCCUGGACAACCGUUGUGUAUGUUCUAUUCCAGAUAUGGGACCUGCAAUUUUGGCUCAAGUUGCAAGUUUGAUCACCCAAUUUUUGUUGGUGAACAUACAUGGGGUUCAUAAUUAGGAACCAGUGCAUUGAACUUGACUUCAGAAGGGUUCGUUGAAGCAGUUUCAACGAAGCCCAGGCGACUGUCACUCCCAGAAACAAGAAAGAUGCCGUCUGGUGAUAAUAACACUGAUAUUUUCCCCCGAUUACCAGUCACCAUCAUCAUUUUGUAUGUACAAAUUCUUUGGAAAAUGCAUUUCAGUUGGUAGGUUAGAACUGGAUAUCUGUAUCAUCAAGACGCGUGAAUACAUAUUGCAACAAUCGAGUGAAAAGAUGCCUUCAGAGUCCUAUUGAAGCAGCUUUCCAGAAAUUUCACAACUGAUUCUGAGAUACGUAACAAUUUAUGACUAUUUGUAACAUUGUUUGCUUUUCUUGGAGUCUUCAAUCUACCCUGCGAAGGACGAAAGACUAACUCCAGUGUCACUAGAGAAAUUGCACCAACUUACUGAAAACUUCACAAAGGAAGUAACAGACGGCAAAAUUGUGCGAAAGGUGUGAUAUCUAAGUCAUUUCUCUUUUCACGAUGUUAUUUACCAGAGCAUCGUUAGCAUGAUGGACAGCUCACAGAUCAUGAACUAAUAGUGAAUAUUGUACAAGUUAAUGUAACUAUGUAUUGCUGUAUAUAAGUGUAAUUGUCAAGAUUUGAUUUAGCAACCAGAGAGAAUAUAUAUUGUGAUAGAAUAGCUGUAUUGGUGAGAUAACAUAGCGGAUUUAGAGGGAUAGAAUAGCUGAUCUUUAGUGAUAGGAACGACGGAUCUUUAGGAAUGUAAUAUUUGAAUACUUUCUAUUUAAUGACAAGACCCUCAAUAUUGAGAGGCAUUCGACAGAAAUUUGGCAUA